UCAUGGCUCAGGACGAACGCUGGCGGCGUGCUUAACACAUGCAAGUCGAACGAAUGACCUAAAACGGAUCUCUUCGGAGUGAAGAUUUAAUGAUUUAGUGGCGAACGGGUGAGUAACACGUGAGAAACCUACCUAGCACAGAGGAAUAGCCGUUGGAAACGACGAUUAAUACCUCAUGACAUCACAUUAAGGCAUCUUAGUAUGAUUAAAGAUUUUAUCGGUGUUAGAUGGUCUCGCGUCUGAUUAGCUAGUUGGUAAGGUAACGGCUUACCAAGGCGACGAUCAGUAGCCGGUCUGAGAGGAUGAACGGCCACACUGGAACUGAGACACGGUCCAGAUUCCUACGGGAGGCAGCAGUGGGGAAUUUUGCACAAUGGGCGCAAGCCUGAUGCAGCGACGCCGCGUGAACGAUGAAGGCCUUCGGGUUGUAAAGUUCUGUCCUUGGGGAAGAUAAUGACAGUACCCAAGAAGAAAGCCCCGGCUAAAUACGUGCCAGCAGCCGCGGUAAUACGUAUGGGGCGAGCGUUGUCCGGAAUUAUUGGGCGUAAAGGGUACGUAGGCGGUUAUGUGGGUCCGUAUUAAAAGGCAUUGGCUCAACCAAUGUAAGGUAUGGAAACUGCACAACUUGAGUAGAUGAGGGGUAAGUGGAAUUCCUAGUGUAGCGGUGAAAUGCUUAGAUAUUAGGAGGAAUACCGGUGGCGAAGGCGACUUACUGGAAUCUUACUGACGCUGAGGUACGAAAGCGUGGGGAGCAAACAGGAUUAGAUACCCUGGUAGUCCACGCCGUAAACGAUGAGUGCUAGGUGUCGGGAGUCAAAUCUCGGCGCCGCCGCUAACGCAUUAGCACUCCGCCUGGGGAGUACGUACGCAAGUAUGAAACUCAAGGGAUUGACGGGGACCC
Molecule: ribosomal RNA, 901 nt
Filed under: uncultured Eubacteriales bacterium
Lineage: Bacteria; Bacillati; Bacillota; Clostridia; Eubacteriales
Description: bacterial SSU rRNA
Rfam family: Bacterial small subunit ribosomal RNA
Source: RNAcentral